CGGCAGCACGGGUGCUUGCACCUGGUGGCGAGUGGCGAACGGGUGAGUAAUAUAUCGGAACGUGCCUUAUAGUGGGGGAUAACGCAGCGAAAGUUGCGCUAAUACCGCAUACGCCCUAAGGGGGAAAGCGGGGGAUCGUAAGACCUCGCGCUAUUAGAGCGGCCGAUAUCUGAUUAGCUAGUUGGUGAGGUAAAGGCUCACCAAGGCGACGAUCAGUAGCUGGUCUGAGAGGACGAUCAGCCACACUGGGACUGAGACACGGCCCAGACUCCUACGGGAGGCAGCAAUGGGGAAUUUUGGACAAUGGGGGCAACCCUGAUCCAGCAAUGCCGCGUGAGUGAAGAAGGCCUUCGGGUUGUAAAGCUCUUUUGUCAGGGAAGAAACAGCAUCUCUAAUACAGAUUGCGAAUGACGGUACCUG
This 420-nucleotide ribosomal RNA is filed under the name uncultured beta proteobacterium. Its description in RNAcentral is "bacterial SSU rRNA". It matches the Rfam family "Bacterial small subunit ribosomal RNA", at positions 67 to 481 of the family's 1533-position model. The record is from RNAcentral. Lineage: Bacteria; Pseudomonadati; Pseudomonadota; Betaproteobacteria.